GACGAACGCUGGCGGCGUGCUUAACACAUGCAAGUCGAACGGAAAGGCCCUGCUUUUGUGGGGUGCUCGAGUGGCGAACGGGUGAGUAACACGUGAGUAACCUGCCCUUGACUUUGGGAUCACUUCAGGAAACUGGGGCUAAUACCGGAUAGGAGCUCCUGCUGCAUGGCGGGGGUUGGAAAGUUUCGGCGGUUGGGGAUGGACUCGCGGCUUAUCAGCUUGUUGGUGGGGCAGUGGCUUACCAAGGCUUUGACGGGUAGCCGGCCUGAGAGGGUGACCGGGGACAUUGGGACUGAGAUACGGCCCAGACUCCUACGGGAGGGAGCAGUGGGGAAUAUUGCACAAUGGGCGGAAGACUGAGGCAGCAACGCCGCGUGCGGGAGGACGGCCUUCGGGUUGUAAACCGCUUUCGCCUGUGACGAAGCGUGAGUGACGGUAAUGGGUAAAGAAGCACCGGCUAACUACGUG
This 468-nucleotide ribosomal RNA is filed under the name uncultured bacterium. Its description in RNAcentral is "partial 16S ribosomal RNA". It matches the Rfam family "Bacterial small subunit ribosomal RNA", at positions 28 to 507 of the family's 1533-position model. The record is from RNAcentral.